RNAcentral lists this ribosomal RNA (568 nucleotides) under Saccharomyces cerevisiae (brewer's yeast). RNAcentral's name for it is "eukaryotic LSU rRNA". It matches the Rfam family "Eukaryotic large subunit ribosomal RNA", at positions 73 to 658 of the family's 3401-position model. Lineage: Eukaryota; Fungi; Ascomycota; Saccharomycetes; Saccharomycetales; Saccharomycetaceae. The record is from RNAcentral.
AUGCCUUAGUACGGCGAGUGAAGCGGCAAAAGCUCAAAUUUGAAAUCUGGUACCUUCGGUGCCCGAGUUGUAAUUUGGAGAGGGCAACUUUGGGGCCGUUCCUUGUCUAUGUUCCUUGGAACAGGACGUCAUAGAGGGUGAGAAUCCCGUGUGGCGAGGAGUGCGGUUCUUUGUAAAGUGCCUUCGAAGAGUCGAGUUGUUUGGGAAUGCAGCUCUAAGUGGGUGGUAAAUUCCAUCUAAAGCUAAAUAUUGGCGAGAGACCGAUAGCGAACAAGUACAGUGAUGGAAAGAUGAAAAGAACUUUGAAAAGAGAGUGAAAAAGUACGUGAAAUUGUUGAAAGGGAAGGGCAUUUGAUCAGACAUGGUGUUUUGUGCCCUCUGCUCCUUGUGGGUAGGGGAAUCUCGCAUUUCACUGGGCCAGCAUCAGUUUUGGUGGCAGGAUAAAUCCAUAGGAAUGUAGCUUGCCUCGGUAAGUAUUAUAGCCUGUGGGAAUACUGCCAGCUGGGACUGAGGACUGCGACGUAAGUCAAGGAUGCUGGCAUAAUGGUUAUAUGCCGCCCGUCUUGAA